AUGGAGUUUGGUUUGGACAAAUGUUCGACAGUGGCAUUGAAGAAGGGAAAAAUCAUUGAAAGUGAGGGCAUAAAUAUGCCCAAUGGCCAAACAAUAAAGUGUCACCAGCCAGAGGCCUAUAAAUAUCUGGGCAUACUACAGCUGGACAACAUCAAGCAUGAACAUGUGAAAACUGUGGUCAGCAAAGAAUACACACAAAGGGUCAGAAAAAUUCUCAAAAGCAAGCUCAAUGGAGGCAACACCAUCAAGGCCAUAAACACCUGGGCCAUACCUGUCAUAAGAUAUACUGCUGGCAUUAUAAAUUGGACACAGGUGGAACUGGACAAUUUGGACAGAAAAACAAGAAAACUCAUGACCAUUCAUCAUUCACUGCACCCCCGCAGUGAUGUUGACCGGCUGUAUCUGCCUCGAAGAUCAGGGGGCAGAGGACUCUUACAAGUAAAGCAAGCAGUCAAAGAAGAAGAACAUGCCCUGGCAGAAUAUGUCAAGCAAAGUGAAGAACCUGCUUUGAUUGAAGUCAAAAAUCAGAAACUCCUCAAAACACAGCAGACAAAAAACCAGUACAAGAAAACCGCACUACAAACUAGAGCUGACAGCUGGCACAACAAAACACUGCAUGGAAAGUUCCUUGACAAAAUUGAAGGAAAAGCUGAUAAGGAGAAGACCUGGCUCUGGCUCACGAAUGGGACCCUGAAGAAGGAGACAGAAGGCCUGAUCCUUGCAGCCCAGGAGCAAGCCAUCAGAACAAAUGCAAUUAAGGCCAAGAUUGAAAAAUCAGCUGAUGACCCAAAAUGCAGACUGUGCAAGGAAACCGACGAAACCAUUGAUCAUAUCCUCAGCUGCUGUAAGAAAAUCGCACAGACAGACUACAAACAGAGGCACAACUAUGUGGCCCAAAUGAUUCAUUGGAACUUAUGCCUCAAGUACCACCUCCCAGCAGCAAAGAACUGGUGGGAUCACAAACCUGCAAAAGUAUUGGAAAAUGAACAUGCAAAGAUACUGUGGGACUUCCGAAUCCAGACUGACAAAGUUCUGGAACACAACACACCAGACAUCACAGUUGUGGAAAAGAACAAGGUUUGGAUCAUUGAUGUUGCCAUCCCAGGUGACAGUCGCAUAGAUGAAAAACAACAGGAAAAACUCAGCCGCUAUCAGGACCUCAAGAUUGAACUUCAAAGACUCUGGCAGAAACCAGUACAGGUGGUCCCGGUGGUGAUGGGCACACUGGGUGCUGUGCCAAAAGAUCUCACCCGGCAUUUGGAAACAAUAGACAUUGACAAAAUCACCAUCUGCCAACUGCAAAAGGCCACCCUACUGGGAUCUGCACACAUCAUCAGAAAAUACAUCACACAGUCCUAG
RNAcentral lists this long non-coding RNA (1359 nucleotides) under Anolis carolinensis (green anole). Its description in RNAcentral is "lncRNA (ENSACAG00000040250.1)". The record is from RNAcentral. Lineage: Eukaryota; Metazoa; Chordata; Lepidosauria; Squamata; Anolidae.